CCGAUUAGUUAUCACGAGAUAUAGUUCGUGAAAACUUUCAACCCUUGCGUAACUUCAAAAUAUCAGCUGUUUCGGCAGAUUUGAUUGGGUUAAACCAAGAAAUUCUGCCAGCAGACCAAAAUCUGAAAUUUUAUUCACUGUCCGAGUUCAAAACAAAUAAAAACA
This 165-nucleotide unclassified non-coding RNA is filed under the name uncultured fungus. RNAcentral's name for it is "sequence contains ITS1, 5.8S rRNA gene". Lineage: Eukaryota; Fungi. The record is from RNAcentral.